AUGGAUGCUUUCAUGGGCGCGAUGCGCAGGUUGCUGUCCACGUGUUCUCCUGCGGCUGACUGCAACAGCAGUCGUGCCAUCAAGACCCUAAGUCUCAGCUUCUACAUGUCAUCCACUCACCUUUGCUCCAUUGGCCGCGCCGUGGAGGACGUCGUCACCCACAACGCGACUGAAAGGCUCGAGUUUAACAUAUCCCUGUCGUCUGGGAACAAAACGAGGUUUGGGAAGCAGUUCAUGUCCUUCUCCCGCUCCUGCCGGGUCACCUUUCGAUGUCUCACGAGUCGAGAUGGCAAUGGGGCCUCGAAACCCGCGCUUACACUUGAGAACCUUGCUUUUGGACAUUCCGACGUCACAAAUCUCAUUAACGCUUGUGAUAGGCUCGACCACCUCACCCUGAGUUGUUGCAGAUUGGUUAAGCACUCCGCGGUCAAGAUUGACACGCCUUGUUCCGGAAUCAAGGAGCUCAAGUUCAUCUACUUUAUGUGCACGUGGAUCGAGCUCAUCUCUGUCCGUAAGCUUAGGCAAGUGCGGUGCGUAUGUUGGCCCUUCGAAAACCCUCCAGUGCGCUUGGGCUACGUUCCAGAGCUUCGUGAUGUAAGUCUUUUUAAUAAAGCCAUGGCAUGGCAGGCACCAUUCAAACUGAGUGAGUGUCUAUCAAGGAGUGCCAAGAACCUGUCGAGACUGAUACUUAAUUUUGGCCACCAAAUGAUUUGGAUUCAACCUGAACAUCCCAAGCACCUCACUACAAUAUUCAGAAACCUGACUGAUGUGUAUCUUAACUGUAUCUUUCCCGAGUGUGAUCUGAACUGGACCAUGUUUAUCGUCCAAGCUGCACCUGCCCUACUGAAUUUUACAUUGUAUCGAAAUCAACAUCCAUGUGUCAAAACGUCUGAGCAUAGUGCCCAGAAGACCAACAUGCUGCCGGAACCAUCCAAGGAUUGGAAGCACCUGAACUUGAAGUUACUCGUGAUGGCAGGGUUCGAGGAGGAAGACAAGGUGACAAAUUAUCUAAGACUUUUCAUGGAACGAGCCGUGGGUUUGAAGAGAAUCGAGCUGCGUGGUAAACACCCCUGUGAUAAGUGCAAUGCCACGGACCUUGAACUUGAGUCCACAAGAUCCCUUGUUGACAAAGCUAGCAGGUAUCGGAUUAAGGAGCGACUCACACAUGAAUCCUCCUUGUCUGUCAAAAUAACAAUAUGUUGA
This 1203-nucleotide ribosomal RNA is filed under the name Triticum aestivum (bread wheat). RNAcentral's name for it is "partial small subunit ribosomal RNA". The record is from RNAcentral. Lineage: Eukaryota; Viridiplantae; Streptophyta; Magnoliopsida; Poales; Poaceae.